CACGUAGGCACCAAGCGUUGUCCGGAUUUAUUGGGCGUAAAGAGCUCGUAGGCGGUUCAGUAAGUCGGGUGUGAAAACUCAGGGCUCAACCCUGAGCGGCCACCCGAUACUGCUGUGACUUGAGUCCGGUAGGGGAGUGGGGAAUUCCUGGUGUAGCGGUGAAAUGCGCAGAUAUUAGGAGGAACACCGGUGGCGAAGGCGCCACUCUGGGCCGAGACUGACGCUGAGGAGCGAAAGCGUGGGUAGCAAACAGG
Molecule: ribosomal RNA, 254 nt
Filed under: uncultured bacterium
Lineage: Bacteria
Description: partial 16S ribosomal RNA
Rfam family: Bacterial small subunit ribosomal RNA
Source: RNAcentral